ACCAUAUUGAAAAAUAAAUUAGUUUAUCGAUGAUGAAUUGAUGAUGAGCAAGUGUUUUAGUGAUUUGAGUUAAAAUUAAUGUUACUUAGUAAAAAUGGCUGGGAAUUUUGGAAUGCAGCAAUUGAUCCCAAUUGUAAACAAAUUACAAGAUGCCUUUGUGCAAAUGGGCGUGCACAUGUCUUUGGAUCUUCCACAAAUUGCAGUUGUGGGUGGUCAGUCCGCUGGAAAGAGUUCGGUAUUAGAAAAUUUUGUAGGCAGAGACUUCUUACCUCGUGGUUCUGGUAUAGUGACGCGUCGCCCCCUGAUUCUACAGCUGAUACAUGGAAAUGCAGAAUACGCCGAGUUCCUGCAUUGCAAGGGCAAGAAGUUCGUGGACUUCAAUGAAGUGCGCCAGGAGAUCGAAGCGGAGACGGAUCGCAUCACCGGCUCGAAUAAAGGCAUUUCCCCGGUGCCCAUCAACUUGCGCGUCUACUCGCCUAAUGUGCUGAAUCUGACAUUGAUCGACUUGCCGGGCUUGACAAAAGUGCCCAUCGGGGAUCAGCCGGUGGACAUCGAGCAGCAGAUCAAAGCCAUGAUCUUCCAGUUCAUCCGCCGCGAGUCCUGCCUCAUCCUUGCGGUCACGCCCGCUAACACUGAUUUAGCUAACAGCGAUGCCCUGAAACUUGCCAAAGAAGUCGACCCACAAGGUCUUCGCACAAUCGGUGUGAUCACCAAGCUGGAUCUGAUGGACGAAGGCACGGACGCCCGCGACGUGCUCGAAAAUAAACUGCUGCCGCUUCGACGUGGAUACAUCGGUGUGGUCAACCGCUCCCAGAAAGACAUCGAUGGACGCAAGGAUAUCUCCGCUGCUCUCGCAGCCGAGAGGAAAUUCUUCCUCAGCCACCCAUCAUACCGACACAUAGCCGACCGGCUGGGCACGCCAUAUCUCCAGCGCGUGCUUAACCAGCAGCUCACCAACCACAUCCGCGACACGCUGCCCGGGCUGCGCGACAAGCUACAGAAGCAGCUGUUAGCACUCGAGAAGGACGUCGAGCAGUACAAGCACUUCCGGCCCGACGACCCGUCCAUCAAGACCAAGGCCAUGCUGCAGAUGAUUCAACAGUUACAGACAGACUUUGAGCGCACCAUCGAAGGCUCUGGUUCUGCUCAGAUCAACACCAACGAACUGUCGGGCGGUGCCAAGAUCAACCGGCUCUUCCAUGAACGGUUCCCUUUCGAGAUUGUCAAGAUGGAGUUCGACGAGAAAGAACUGCGUAGGGAGAUCGCGUUCGCUAUCAGAAACAUCCACGGUAUUAGGGUUGGUCUCUUCACCCCCGACAUGGCGUUCGAGGCUAUAGUAAAGAAGCAAAUCGCGCGGCUAAAGGAACCAUCUCUGAAGUGCGUUGACUUGGUAGUGCAAGAGUUAUCCAAUGUCGUCCGUUUCUGUACUGAAAGGAUGUCGCGGUACCCGCGGCUGCGCGAGGAGACGGAGCGCAUCAUCAUGUCGCACGUGCGCUCGCGCGAGCAGCAGUGCAAGGACCAGCUCGUGCUGCUCAUCGACUGCGAGCUGGCCUACAUGAACACCAACCACGAGGACUUCAUCGGAUUCGCCAACGCACAAAACCAGUCUGAGAACGCAACCAAGUCAGGUCACCGAGCACUCGGCAAUCAGGUGAUUAGAAAAGGAUAUAUGUGCAUACACAAUCUUGGUAUCAUGAAAGGAGGCUCUCGCGAUUACUGGUUCGUGUUAACGUCGGAGAGCAUCUCCUGGUACAAGGACGAAGAGGAACGCGAGAAGAAGUACAUGCUUCCACUCGACGGGCUCAAACUGCGCGACCUCGAACAGGGCUUCAUGUCGCGGCGACACAUGUUCGCACUAUUCAACCCAGAGGGCAGGAACGUAUACAAGGACUACAAGCAGCUAGAGUUGUCAUGUGAAAACCAAGAUGACGUCGACUCAUGGAAAGCGUCUUUCCUCCGCGCCGGUGUGUACCCAGAGAAAACGUCAGAAGCCGCCAACGGUGACGAGAGUUCGGACAGUCAAGCCACAAGCAGUAUGGAUCCUCAGCUGGAGCGACAGGUGGAGACGAUCCGCAACCUGGUGGACUCAUACAUGCGCAUUGUGACCAAGACGACUCGCGAUCUGGUGCCCAAGACCAUCAUGAUGUUGAUCAUCAACAACGCCAAAGAUUUUAUCAAUGGGGAACUUCUUGCGCAUUUGUACGCUUCUGGCGACCAGUCUCAAAUGAUGGAGGAAUCGCCAGAAGAAGCUCAGAAACGCGAGGAGAUGCUCCGCAUGUACCACGCGUGCAAGGAGGCGCUGCACAUCAUCGGCGACGUCUCCAUGGCAACCGUCAGCACGCCCGUGCCGCCGCCCGUCAAGAACGACUGGCUGGAGAGCCGCCUGGACUCCAACCCGCGCCUCUCGCCGCCCUCGCCCGGCGGGCCACGAAGGGCUGCUCCUGCACAGCAGGGUAAGUGGACUGAGCGUGUACCAGCGUGCAAGGAGGCGCUGACGUCAUCGGCGACGUCUCCAUGGCAACCGGCAGGUGGCCCGUCAAGAACGACUGGCUGGAGAGCCGCCUGGACUCCAACCCGCGCCUCUCGCCGCCCUCGCCCGGCGGGCCUCGAAGGGCUGCUCCUGCACAGCAGGGCCCCGGCAACCGAGGAGCCCCGCCGCCACCGGGCGCGGGCACGGGCCGGCCCGCCCCGCCGCUGCCGUCGCGGCCGGGCGGCGCCGCCCCCCCACCGCCCGCCGGCCGGCCCGCCCCCGGCGGAGGCCUGCCCGCGCCGCUCAUACCUACGCGGCGCUAAGCGGCUUCGGCGCGUGCCACCUAUCUUACUAACAAUAAGCUAUAAUGAACAUAAGGUACUAACUCUGAUGGGCUUGUUAACUUAGUACAUUUGACGCAAGUUGCCCGUUCACAAGCGGUAUCGGUUCGUUUGAAUAGACGUAGUGGCACUCAAUUUCAUAGGGUUAUCCGGUUACCCAGGUAUCAUCUUGUUGGUUGAGGUUACUAUUCGCUUUCUAAUAAAAUACUUGAGCUGACAUCGAAAUUAGACAGGAUUUUAGAAAACGACGAGAUUAGACUAAUACCAUUUGAAUAUUCAUAAUACUAACCAAAUACUCAAACUCAGUGAUAAUAACUUUCGACAUUAUGAUAGCUGGGUCGACCGACACUAAAAUGUAGCAAAAAAUAUAAUAUGCAAUAAAAUUAAUUUAUAUUUUAUUAAAUCAGAUUUAAUUUUGAAAUCUUGACUAGUGCUUUGAUUAAAUCAAAAGUUAUCGAUUGUAGUAAGUUAACAACUGUAUCGGUAAAUUUAUAAAAUGAAAUUAUACAUAUGUUAUAUACAAUAUUAGUCAUAUAAAUGAUUAAUACUUACGAUACGUCUGAAAAAAAUAUUGCUUCCAUAAAUUUAUUAAAUUAAUAGUGAAAUUUAUUAUGUACCUACUCUUAGUAUACUUAUUCGUACGUAAUAAUGUGCUUAGGGAAUCUCCUGCAGGCAGCCAUACCUUAACGAAUAUAGUUUUUUUCUAUAUACAUGAAUAUUAUACUAUUUAAUUAAAAAGUCUAUUUUGUCUUAACACAUCCGUGAUAUUAUAUUUUUAUGAAGAUGAUGAAGGUUGUGGUUUUAUCGAACAUUUCUUCGGCUGCCUGCUGAGAGAUAGAAUUGUUUCAAUACAAUAGGCCAAUACAGGUGUAUCCAAAAUUAAAAUAUACCUUUACCUUAUACCUAAUGGAACAGAGAGGGAUUAUGAAUUGAGAGUUGUUGUAGCAUCGUUCUGCGCUGCGUACACAUCGGUUUCAUCCUUUAUUAGCAAAACGAUGGAACUAGAUUGUGAAAAUGCUUUACUUGCUUAGCUCUUUCAAAACUGAAUUAUUAUGUGAUUAAAUGUUUGUAACUAAAAGUGGGUAUAUGAACACAACAAUGUAACUGCACUGCAUGAUAAUUUACACUAGUGUGUGUGGUCUUCAAACAAUUCUUCUUUCAGAUUUGUGUGACGCUCUUCUUUUAUAAACUUCAACUGAAAUUAGUACAAUAACAAAAGUAUUAGAGCCGUGUGUAGAGAUUCGUCUAAACUGUGUGUAAUUUAUAAGUUGUUGAACUUUUAUUCUAAAACUAAACAGAUUUCAGAUAAUCAUUCACAGUUGCCCUGUAAGAACUAAUUUAACAGAUUUUUAAACAUGUAUUAUGAAAAUUAAUUAUGGCCGUUACAUACCUUCAGGAAUGUCUUACAGAGAAGCUGUGAGAGCUGAAAGCUGGAGUGCUAGACAUAGACAUUUAACUCAAAGUUGUAUUGGAUAGUUGACACCAUUAACUAAUAUGUAUUUCUAAGACACGACUUUUUUUAAAAGAAUACCAAAUUAUAUCCUUGAAUGCCCAAUCAGUUUACAACUGGCUGUAUAAGGAUUGACAUCAGAGUCAAUGGAGUUGGCAAAAGCAAACGAAAGUUGACGUCAUGGUUUGUCUUUGCCAUGCAAAAUCCAUGACUAUGAAUCUAUGACGGCUCGUAAAAAUAGAUGUCAAGUUAAUGAUGUAAAUAUGUGUUUAGCGGAAUUCAGUCAUGGGAUCUUUUGUGGAUUGAUAUCCCAGAUCUGGGCAUAAACUAAAGAAGUAUGACUGGUGUUGUCAACUACCUUUUUGUAUAGUACAGUUGACAGCACAUCAGACUAUCCAUUUUUUGUUAUCUCUAAAGCACCUAUUACAACUUCACGAGAUGCCGCAGUGUUAUCUGAUGUGCUGUCUGUACCUGCGAUGUAAGAUAUUUGAGUAUAGCUAACGUGAUGGGAAUAUUAGGAGGCCGGGCGGCGGGGGCGCCGUGGGCGCGGCGGCGGGCGUCAUGGGGCAGAUGCCGCCUCACAUGCGCCAGCAGAUCAACCAGGCGGUCGGCCAGGCCGUCACCAACGCCGCCGUCAACGAGCUCAGCUCAGCCUUCGCUAGAUUCAACCGACCGGUGCCCAACGUGCCGCCAAAGCUGCCCGAGCGACCACAGAAUGGACGGCCAUUUUAAACUCCCCCUUCGCCGCCAUCUUAUGAUAAGUUGCAUUGUAAAUAUAACCCCCUCCCCCACUCGUCGUGUGUAUAUUGCUUCAAAUACUGCUUUUAUAUUAUUUAAUUAAUGAAAUGUUCAGCCCAAGCCGGUGAAUGGGAUAGUAACUGUAGAGAACGAUCUUAAACGUUCAGAAAUUUACUUUUUAUUUAUACUCCUAAUUUAAUAAAUUGUAAUUUUAACUACUUGAAUAUUUUACAAAACGAAGAUUUGUUUAGAAUGAAUGUUUUUCUAUUAUUAUUUAUGAUGUGCCACGUUUAAACUGGGCAAUAAUUGAAGCGCCAUGUGUUGUUAAACUAGUCGAAGCACAUUAUACCUAUUAAAGCUCGACUGUUAAAUGUCGUGUGCUUUUAGCAUUGCGUAGCGUAGCGUCACGUUUGUCGCUAACGUAUCGAAUGUCGAGAUUACGCGAUGCGUCCUCAAAUGUUGCCUAGUGUAAGAAAGGCUUUAUUAGUAAAAACCAAACGAAAAAAUAUUUUAAAUUAUUGUUACACCUAUGACCAAAUAUAGGUAUUAGGUAGUAUAAACAAACUACCUGUUAUAAAAAGGUUAGUCAUCAUCACGUUUUGAUAUAAGUACUGCAAUCACACGUUUUAAUUAAUUAAAAGGAAUUUAGGUAGGCGUAUCUAUACUAUGAAUUAUUAUUACAUGCUUCUUUCAGCGGUUAACUUCUAAAUAAUUUUGAAAUAAAUCAUGAAAAGUCAUAAAGAGUAAUGAUGACAUUAUUGUACGAUAAUAUUUGUGACAAUAUUGCAUUUUUAUGUAUUGAAGUUUACCUGAUUUAACUUUUAUGAUUAUAGAAAACCAGGUAAUAUUAACUCAGUGUAUUUCGAUGUAAUAAUUCACAAAGUGAAGUAGGAUAUGUAUGUGUAGGAAGGUAGUGCUGUAUCUAGUUAUUUGUUCGACUGAUAUUACAAAUAGGUUACUGGAAUGCUUGUGAUAGAAGAGGGUGCUUACAGGAAUACAAGUUGUACUUCUGACCAAUGCGCCUUCUUAGAGAUUAUGUAUAGCAGUGUUACUGUGGCAUUUAGUAUUAUGACGAGUGAAUGCAGGCGAUUACAGACGGUCUUUGAAAGAUAUUAUAUUUGUUACACUUACUCACCUACUUGCAAAUUAGAUUUUUCACCAAUUCAUGUUCAAGUUUAAUUUUGUAAUAUUAUUAUGUACAAAAUAUUUAUAAUAUUAUUUUAAAACCAGAUGGUAAUUUUUAGAAUUGUUUAUGCUUUUGGAACCACUUUUUCUACAUUUUUAUUGUAAAUAUCUUUUAUAGAAAUCAAAUUGGCAGAAGUAAGCGUAAUCAAAAGAAAUAGAUAUAGAAUGAUGAAAAAUUAUGUAAUUUAUUCAUUUAGGAGGGAUAAUAGUUUGAUAGAUUUUGUAUUUUUUACAUUCCCAUAGCGCCUGCUAAUCACGCGUCAGAAGUUUAUGUAUAUA
Ostrinia furnacalis (Asian corn borer) is the source of this 6463-nucleotide RNA transcript. It is a transcript of the gene named dynamin-1 shibire, with no coding region annotated. NCBI's taxonomy places the organism in Eukaryota, Metazoa, Arthropoda, Insecta, Lepidoptera, Crambidae. The record is from RefSeq and is a predicted model, not a curated record. The transcript is spliced from 17 exons.